Molecule: long non-coding RNA, 2164 nt
Organism: Canis lupus familiaris (dog)
Lineage: Eukaryota; Metazoa; Chordata; Mammalia; Carnivora; Canidae
Exons: 3
Source: RefSeq, a predicted model, not a curated record
AAUUUUAAAGGCUUGAUAAAUACAAUUGGUCUUUAAAGUUUUCUUUUAUGAUUGUGCUGAUACACUCAUUUACUACUUGUGUACCUAAAUAAGACCAUCAAAUACUAUGAAAACAAGAGUGACAAUUCCUAAUAGUGAAAUCUCAGGCCCUAACACCUAGGUUGUGUCCACUCACUGAGACCCAGGACCCCCCGGUUCUAUUGGUUCUGUUGCUGCCUCGGACACUAGCUGUGUGAUUUUGGACAAGUCACUUUUCGUCUCUGGGCCUGUUUCCUCUUGUAUAGAAAAGAUUCAACUAGAGUUCCAACUGAUAAGCCUUUUUAUCAUUAACUUCCAAGCAUCUGACCUCUCUUUGCAAGUGCAUUUUAGUGUGUGGAAGCCCGAUACAUGAAACAGAAGAAAGUAUGUCAACAACCCAACCGUUUGUGCUCUAGACCCACUUCCUGACUCCAGGCGAAUGCAGUGAACCUAAUCCACUAGUCAGAGCUGUGCUGUCUCUCAGUUGAGUGGAGAGUCACUGGGUGAUUUUAAGUGACCCAUAGGAGCUCACAUGUAACAAUUGUUCUUACAGUGUUUCCCUAAGUAGUAAGCCCAGAUGCUGGUGGUUGCAUGAGGGCUCAGGAAAUGUUUGGGCUCCAAUGUUUUUUUUGCUAUUUCUAGAGAAUUCUGUAAGGAUCCCCAGGUCUUUGGGAGAACCAUCCAUGAGUGGCUUUCAGGGGAAUCAGGUCCCAGGUUAUUAUGCUCAGAGCUCUCCAGCCCCACUGCCAGCCCCCAACCCAGAGCUACAACUUUGGUGCUAUUGCAGGAAGAUAAGGCCACACAGAGAAAGGAUGGAGGCAAGGAGAGGGGUCAAGUGCAACACACAUCACCUUGGAAAUAUGGGGAAUGUUUAUCAGUGUCCUCUCCCUGUUCUGAGAGGUGCCAUCUGGACUUCUAUGACAUUGGCUUCAGCCUCCUCAGGCUACGUGUCAUGACAAGGAUCAUUUUGGCUCCUUUAGGAGAGGGCUAGAUGCCCCAUGAUAUUCUGCAUCAUCAGAGCCCACAGACUGUAACACCCAUGUCCUGAGUAAUAAUGAGCAGGACAUCACCCAGAGCAAAGCCUGGGCCCUGGGCUCAUGGGAUCCCAUUUGCACUUGGUCCAGACUGACAAGACUCAAACUCAGAGGAUGUGAGAACAGCAGGAGUGCAGUCCCUGAGGAGCGAAAGACAAAUGUGUAGGCCAUUCAGUAGGAUGGCCCUUCCUGGCUCAAGUUUUCUCUGUGGACAGAAGCAGGAAGUUGGCAGCCAGUGUUCCCCACCUCCCUGAAUUUCCUUGCCCAUUUAGAGGAUAGAGAGCUAGGGACUUGGGUGAAUGACUAGUUAUAGCCCAAGUCCCCACUCCUACCAGGACACACCAGCCUGGGCUGGGGAUCAGGGGACCUGGCUUCAAGUCCCAGUUGGGUCACUUUCUCAUUGUAAAGCUAGUCACAUGUCUUCCCUGGUUCCCAGUUUCAUUUUCUUAAAAGAUCUUGGAUUAGAUGCUUAUCAAGGACCCUGCCAGCCUAAUAGUGGCUCUAGUGCUAGAUUAUAGAGCCUUCACAGAGUUCCACAUACUUAGGAAGAAGAAGGGAAUGUGCUAUAAUGGUUAAGUGUGUGGACCGUGGGAUUCGAUUUCCUGAGUUUAAAUCCAGACUCUCCUUUCUUUGCUAUGACUUUUUGUUUUUCUUUUUUUUUAAGUAGGCUCCAUGCCUAGCAUGGAGCCCACCAAUGUGGGACUUGAAGUCAUGACUGUGAGAUCAAGACCUGAGCUGAGAUCAAGAGUUGGACACUUAACCGACUGAGCCACGCGGGUGCCCCUCCUCGCUGUGACUUUGAAAAGUAUUCCACAUUGGCAAAGUGAAGGAUGUUCUUCCUCAGUGUACCUCUCUAUGGCUGGAUUUCCGCAUUUUAUAAAGAUGUAAGUCAUAUUGGAGUAAAGCCCACCCUGAAGAUUUCAUCUCGACUUGAUCAUCUACCAAGACCCUGUUCCCAAACAACAUCACACCCACAGAGACAACCCCAGUUUGCAUGGGGUUUGUCUCCUACUUGACAUUUUCAUUAGCUGGUGCCAACUUCCCACUGCUUGUGGAGGAAGAUCCCUGUGGCGCCAGCCAUUCUCCCCACUGAAAUGGAUCAGCUUGUGGGG